UUUAGGACUCCGCCGGCACCUUAUGAGAAAUCAAAGUCUUUGGGUUCCGGGGGAGUAUGGUCGCAAGGCUGAAACUUAAAGGAAUUGACGGAAGGGCACCACCAGGAGUGGAGCCUGCGCUUAAUUUGACUCAACACGGGGAAACUUACCAGGUCCAGACAUAGUAAGGAUUGACAGACUGAGAGCUCUUUCGAUGAAUGGAGAUGUAAAUAGAAGCAAGAAAGGUGUACAUGUGUACGCGGGGCAUACCCCGGAGAUGGUGCCCACUCGACCCUCAUCGAUUGGGUGAAGUGGGCUAUAAAAACACUAUUCUAGUCACUGCUAGGAGGAUUCUCCUCCCAAGCCUAAGACUACUAAAUAUAUUACAUAUUAACAAACCAAAAAUAAAACAUCAAAA
RNAcentral lists this non-coding RNA (397 nucleotides) under Ipomoea nil (Japanese morning glory). RNAcentral describes it as "Eukaryotic small subunit ribosomal RNA". It matches the Rfam family "Eukaryotic small subunit ribosomal RNA", at positions 1068 to 1394 of the family's 1831-position model. Lineage: Eukaryota; Viridiplantae; Streptophyta; Magnoliopsida; Solanales; Convolvulaceae. The record is from Rfam by way of RNAcentral.